Molecule: microRNA precursor, 115 nt
Filed under: Medicago truncatula (barrel medic)
Lineage: Eukaryota; Viridiplantae; Streptophyta; Magnoliopsida; Fabales; Fabaceae
Description: miR2587d stem-loop (mtr-MIR2587d)
Rfam family: MIR2587 microRNA precursor family (bases 6-99)
Source: miRBase by way of RNAcentral
UUGUGGUGUCAUGGUCAUUGUUGACCGUUCAUAUGAACCCUGCAAUAGCAUUGCAGCUUGUGUGGGGUUCAUAUAACGGUCAACAUAGACCAUUGACAUAAAAAGUAGACACAAA